GGCUUCAUAGCUCAGUUGGUCAGAGCACUUCACUGGCAUUGAAGAGGUCAUGAGUUCGAGUCCCGUAGAAGACA
Molecule: transfer RNA, 74 nt
Filed under: Acropora cervicornis
Lineage: Eukaryota; Metazoa; Cnidaria; Anthozoa; Scleractinia; Acroporidae
Description: tRNA-Ala
Rfam family: tRNA
About the family: Transfer RNA (tRNA) molecules are approximately 80 nucleotides in length.
Source: RNAcentral